This 223-nucleotide long non-coding RNA is filed under the name Carica papaya (papaya). RNAcentral's name for it is "long non-coding RNA (CPAP_LNC010778)". The record is from RNAcentral. Lineage: Eukaryota; Viridiplantae; Streptophyta; Magnoliopsida; Brassicales; Caricaceae.
UAAAGCAUAAGGAAUCUUUUGCAUCUCCUUAGUCUCAAAGUCAUUCUUGAGGCAUUAACUUAUACUAACUUAUCUCCUUUAGAGACAGGGGUGUCACCUAUUUUACAAUCCUGCAAGCUAAAUAUGUAACAUCCCACCCAUCACUGUGCUUAAAUGAUUUGGAAAUCCUAUUUAUUCAGACCUUUGGCUACAAUAAACUUAAUUAAUUUACGCAGCUUAAUAU